RNAcentral lists this ribosomal RNA (419 nucleotides) under uncultured bacterium. RNAcentral describes it as "bacterial SSU rRNA". It matches the Rfam family "Bacterial small subunit ribosomal RNA", at positions 29 to 427 of the family's 1533-position model. The record is from RNAcentral.
AACGAACGCUGGCGGCGUGGAUAAGACAUGCAAGUCGAACGGGACUAAAUCUGUAGCAAUACAGGUUUAGUUUAGUGGCGAACGGGUGCGUAACACGUGGGCAAUCUGCCGAGAAGUGGGGGAUAGCUCGCCGAAAGGCGAAUUAAUACCGCAUAUGAUCAGCUAAGACAUCUUAGCGACAUCAAAGCCGGGGAUCGAAAGACCUGGCGCUUCUUGAUGAGCCCGCGGCCUAUCAGCUAGUUGGUGAGGUAACGGCUCACCAAGGCUAUGACGGGUAGCUGGUCUGAGAGGACGACCAGUCACACUGGAACUGAGACACGGUCCAGACACCUACGGGUGGCAGCAGUCGAGUAAUUUUUCUCAAUGGGGCAACCCUGAAGGAGCGACGCCGCGUGGAGGAUGAAGGCUUUCGGGUUGUU